RNAcentral lists this transfer RNA (63 nucleotides) under Cotesia glomerata. Its description in RNAcentral is "tRNA-Thr". Lineage: Eukaryota; Metazoa; Arthropoda; Insecta; Hymenoptera; Braconidae. The record is from RNAcentral.
CAGCUAUAACUGGUAGAGCCUUUGGCGCGUAACCAAACGAUCCGGGUUCGAGUCCCGGUCUGG